Heteronotia binoei (common prickly gecko) is the source of this 688-nucleotide RNA transcript. It is a transcript of the gene named secreted protein of Ly-6 domain 1-like, with no coding region annotated. NCBI's taxonomy places the organism in Eukaryota, Metazoa, Chordata, Lepidosauria, Squamata, Gekkonidae. The transcript is spliced from 4 exons. The record is from RefSeq and is a predicted model, not a curated record.
GUUUUGGCAACAGGAUUCUUAGUCCUGCUUUUCUUUGAUGCAGAAAUACAGAAUGCAGGAGGGGGGGAGAAGAACCCUUGGAUCCUCCAUACCUUACUGGCAAUGCUCCAGGGCUUUUUGUGUUGAGCUACCAGCCUGGCAGAUUUCCAAGCAACAGAAUAUGGAUGGGACAAUGUACGAUCCUGCUAGAGAAGCACAGCAUCUUUAGCCAGGUAAAGUGGAAGAGAGGAAGAUGAGUUCAGGCUCGCGAGUGCUUGUACUGCCGAGAUCUUGAUGAAAACAACUUUUGUAAGCGUAGGGACUGGACUUGCCAUGCAGGACUGUGGGGUUACUGCUUUACUCGGAAGGUCGUUGUAGAUGGUAAAAUCAAGUGGGUGCACAGGGGCUGUGCAGAACGAUGCAUUAACACGCAGACCAAGAGACGGGUAGUAAAAAUGGAAUGCUGUACCAAAGAUUACUGCAACUGGGAAGUGAAUUUGUGGAACAAAUAAGAAUGGACAAGUUUCCUUUGAGGCUUACCUCAAACCAAUCUUGCUCUCAUCAUGUCAUCAGGACAGAACAUUUCUAUCUUUGGAGACAAUUCUAGUUCAAAUGCUUUCAGAUGAAUGAAGAAAAUCCACAGUGCAAACGAAUGCAGAGAAUGCCAAGUGCAAAUGAAAUGUCCUAAUAAAAGAAAUGUUUUACAAAA